Molecule: ribosomal RNA, 482 nt
Filed under: uncultured bacterium
Lineage: Bacteria
Description: partial 16S ribosomal RNA
Rfam family: Bacterial small subunit ribosomal RNA
Source: RNAcentral
AUUGAACGCUGGCGGCAUGCUUUACACAUGCAAGUCGAACGGUAACAGGCCGCAAGGUGCUGACGAGUGGCGAACGGGUGAGUAAUGCAUCGGAACGUGCCCAGUCGUGGGGGAUAACUACUCGAAAGAGUAGCUAAUACCGCAUACGAUCUAUGGAUGAAAGCGGGGGACCGUAAGGCCUCGCGCGAUUGGAUCGGCCGAUGUCAGAUUAGGUAGUUGGUGGGGUAAAGGCUCACCAAGCCAACGAUCUGUAGCUGGUAUGAGAGGACGACCAGCCACACUGGGACUGAGACACGGCCCAGACUCCUACGGGAGGCAGCAGUGGGGAAUUUUGGACAAAGGGCGCAAGCCUGAUCCAGCAAUGCCGCGUGCAGGAAGAAGGCCUUCGGGUUGUAAACUGCUUUUGUACGGAACGAAACGGCUCUGGUUAAUACCCGGGGCUAAUGACGGUACCGUAAGAAUAAGCACCGGCUAACUACGUG